AAAAUUUAUCACCACUCGCGUUAUCAUGAGAUCUAAGUUUUUAGGUUAAUGAUGUACGAGAUCCUUAUCAUUGACAAAUUAAUAACGUGAAAGAUUUUCUCUUAAGUGCAUCCAGUUUUUCUUUUAAACUUUUUUAUCCUUUACAUCCCUUUUGUAUGAUUAGAUAUUGAAAUACCUACACGAAAAAAAUAAGUUGGUAGUUGAAAAUUGAAUGUUCCAACCGACGACAUUGGAGAUAGCAUGACACAUUCAGAUAAGCAUGACGCCUUCAGAUGAGCAGAAACUAAUACCAACUUCAAACCCAUGACAAAAAUUGAUAAAAUUGUUGUAAUGCUGCAUGCAUCGUUCUAUCUUUUCUCACGGGCAUUAAUUCGUUUGAUUUCCAAUUUGAUCCAACUUUUAGAAAUAUUGGAACUGUUGAUUUUCGAGCAAGAAUUAACAUAAAAAGUUGCAAAUCUAAAUUUAAACGCAUACCCGGAUUAUAUGCGGAAAACCAAUAAACCAAGGUUGUGCUACUGAUUUAUGGUCGGAGAAUGAUCACAAAGUCGGAAAAUCCUCUAUAUUCACGUUGCUAGAACCUUCUAAACUUCUCUUGACUUGAAUUUUCUCUAAAUUGCACUUUUCCUUAUUCUUUGCUUUGCUUAACUUAUUUUCUCUAUGGAUUUGCCUUCUAUUUAUAGCAUUCCAAGAGUAGUGAUCAUCUUCUCAAUGAUCAUUAAAUAAGCUUAAACAAUUGUAGGAGUGAUCAUCUUCUUGAUAAUCACUUAAUAUCUUUCAAUAUAAUAUCGUAAGAUAUUAGAGAGUUCUAACUUAAAAUGAUCACUUGCUCUUAAAUGGUUUUUCCAUUAUUUUUCUGGGAGUAAAAGUUUCUUUCGUGCCAAUAUCUAAUUAUUCACCCAAUCAUUGAUUGAUACAGAAUAAUAUUAUGUUUUCUGCAUAGUACAUAAAUAUCCAUUCAUACGCGUCUGAUGAUAUUAUCUCUCCAAACAUUAUUUUUUAAAUUUAUGAUAAGAAUGCUUAACAACUAAUUAAGUCUCUAUUUAGUGUGGUAUCGUGAAGGAAAAUUUUAAUUGUUAUAAUUUUCAGAGCUUUUUUUUAAAAAUAAAAAUAGUUGUGCGUUAAACAAUAUUUAUUAAAAUUUAUUACCACUCGCAUUAUCAUGAGAUCUAAAUUUUUAGGUUAAUGAUGUACGAGAUCCUUAUCAUUGACAAAUUAAUAACGUGAAAGAUUUUCUCUUAAGUGCAUCCGGUUUUUCUUUUAAAUUGUUUUAUUCUUUACAUCCCUUUGUAUGAUUAGAUAUUGAAAUACCUACACGAAAAGAAUAAGUUGGUAGUUGAAAACUGAAUGUUCCAACCGGCGACAUUGGAGAUAACAUGACAUAUUCAGAUAAGCAUGACGCCUUCAGAUGAGCAGAAACUAAUAUCAACUUCAAACCCAUGACAAAAAUUGUUGUAAUGUUGCAUGCAUCGUUCUGUCUUUUCUCACGGGCAUUAAUUCGUUCGAUUUCCAAUUUGAUCCCACUUUUAGAAAUAUCGGAACUGUUGAUUUUCGAGCAAGAAUCAACAUAAAAACUUGCAAAUCUAAAUUUAAACACAUACCCGGAUUAUAUGCGGAAAACCGAUAAACCAAGGUUGUUCUACUGAUUUAUGGUCGGAUAAUGAUCACAAAGUCAGAAAAUCCUCUCUAUUCACGUUGCUAGAACCUUAUAAGCUUCUCUUGACUUGAAUUUUCUCUAAAUUGCACUUUUCCUUAUUCUUUGCUUUGAUUUGC
Molecule: long non-coding RNA, 1770 nt
Filed under: Citrus maxima (pomelo)
Lineage: Eukaryota; Viridiplantae; Streptophyta; Magnoliopsida; Sapindales; Rutaceae
Description: long non-coding RNA (CMAX_LNC001980)
Source: RNAcentral